CACCAGCGCCACGAGUGGGAGCCAGCAUUAUUGGGCCUAAAGCGUCCGUAGCUGGCCAAGCAAAUCUCUUGUGAAAUCGUCUCGCUCAACGAGACGCCGUGCAGGAGAGACUACUUGGCUUGGAACCAGGAGGGGUCGGGGGUAUUCUUGAGGGAGCGGUAAAAUGUUAUAAUCUCAAGAGGACCACCUGCGGCGAAGGCGCCCGACCAGAAUGGAUUCGACAGUGAGGGACGAAAGCUAGGGGAGCGAACCG
This 253-nucleotide ribosomal RNA is filed under the name uncultured archaeon. Its description in RNAcentral is "partial 16S ribosomal RNA". It matches the Rfam family "Archaeal small subunit ribosomal RNA", at positions 474 to 726 of the family's 1478-position model. The record is from RNAcentral.